Molecule: unclassified non-coding RNA, 189 nt
Filed under: uncultured fungus
Lineage: Eukaryota; Fungi
Description: sequence contains ITS2
Source: RNAcentral
CAACCAUCAAGCACAGCUUGGCAAUGGGCGACGUCUCCCCUAGACGGGAGGCGCGCCCCAAAACAGUCGGCAGAGUCACGCGGACCCGCCGGGCGUAGCAGAAAAGGAAGGCAGACGCCGACCCCUCACGCCCCAAGCGACCGCGCCUUGCGCCGUAAAACCAAUGGCCCGCGAGGGUCGUCUCCAAAA